UGGUGGAGUGAUUUGUCUGGUUAAUUCCGAUAACGAACGAGACUCUGGCCUACUAACUAGUGGCUGGAUCGGCUUCGGCCUGUCCAGUGUCACACUUCUUAGAGGGACAAGCAGUGUUCAGCUGCAUGAAAAGAGCAAUAACA
RNAcentral lists this ribosomal RNA (143 nucleotides) under uncultured eukaryote. Its description in RNAcentral is "partial 18S ribosomal RNA". It matches the Rfam family "Eukaryotic small subunit ribosomal RNA", at positions 1299 to 1458 of the family's 1831-position model. The record is from RNAcentral.